This is a non-coding RNA of Anas platyrhynchos (mallard), 5438 nucleotides long. Lineage: Eukaryota; Metazoa; Chordata; Aves; Anseriformes; Anatidae. The record is from RefSeq and is a predicted model, not a curated record.
AUUUAAGCAACCUUGCUUCUGCUUUGGUGAUCACAUGUCAUGCAAUGUCUAUAUUGUUGAUUUUGUUGCUAAGCCCCGCUGUGAGUUCUAGUUUCCAGUGUUUCAGGUUACAUGUUUAAACCUGGCCUUCCAACUGUUUCACACUAUCCUGCAUGUCCUCUUCUAACGAAGCUGAUACUCUGGAGGCCUUCUCUUUCCACACUGGUCCACAUUGGCAUGAAAAAUUGAGUGGAAGGAGGAGUUAGUAUUACAGAUUUUUUGUUUAUGAUAGUUGUUAACUUUCCACUUCGGAAAUGUCACUAAGAGGAAGCCUUAGGAAGCACAUAUUCGGUGCAUGUGGUCAGCAGAUUGGCUUCUGACACCUUCCCCCAUUACUGGAGAAUUUCACGAGCUCUUAAGAAAAAAGCAAACAGAAAAUAUGAACCUGGCAGGCAUCAAAGCUGAGAAACUGAAGAGGACUAGGAGGAAAAGCUCUACUUCAAAACUCUUUUCUAUAAGCCUUCGAUCUGAUGUUUUUCUUUAGGACAGAUACGGAAAAAGUUGAUCUUAUGCACGCUUCUUUGGAGGAUUACAUUUAGGCCCAUUUACGUUAUUGGAAGAGAGCUCUCUGUACACCUGUGAGGUUUCAAGUAACUUACAAUAUAAAGCAGCCAGUGACUUGCGUGGGACUUGGGCUAUCCCAAUUAAAUUGUGUAUGAUGACAUGUCAGCAUGCCGGGGCUUCAUUUCUGCAAGCAGAAAUCCCUUGUGCAGUGUGUUAUGGAAAUUACUGUUCCAUGCCAAGAAAUUUUAUUUUACUCCAUCAGAUGCAACUCCAUUUCUCUGGCUCUCUGAACAUUUUCUAGCAGCGAAAUGCAAACAUCCUUACCAUCAAGAAGGCUAGGCGGGGUAGUACUGAAGGGAUUAUUCCAGAAACUCCUGAAAUGCAAAACCUUCUGUGGCAAGAGAGAAAAGGCAGUCUUGUGACUAUGGCUCUGACCUAAAGGACACGCUCUCUCCAAGUAUGAUUUCAUUCAGGUAGUGAGACCAAGAGCUGCAUUAAAAAACAGAAGGAUUGGCCCUAGGCAGACAGUGCAAUGAAGGUGCCUCAGUACUCCUCAAGGAAAAUUUCCUUCCAGCUCACCAACAGCGAGCAUUAAGCACCUCACCCCACCCUGAAUUCAGGUAAAAAUUAUCUUCUGAGUAAUAAAACACCAUUUAAUCUUCCAAGGAAUAAAACACCAAUUAAAGGCCAUGUUUAAAACAUGGAGGGUAUGGUAGAUGUUGUGAAGUUCUGGUUCCUGGCUCAUCUCCUGUUUUCAAUAACCGUGUAACGUAAAAGGUCACAUUAUUCCUGAGAGCAAGGAUCAGAAUCCUACAGCUAUCUCCUGCCACUAUCUGAUAGGUAAGUUGUCUCUCUUCUUUCCUUGGAGGACACUUAAAUGUUUCUGGGGAAAUGUCGUGGGAACUUCCAGGUCAAAGAGGGAAGCCUGCAGUUGCUUUUCGGUUCUCAUAUUGUUAGGCUGUGUGGGCAGACGAUGGUCUGAGUUGUUGUUUGAGGUUAGAACCAGACACUUCCACUCCAAUUUAGGCAACAUUACUGGAAAUGGGCCAAUAAGUUUAUGCUAAAAUUUUAGUAUCAUUAAGUUAUACCAAGCAUAGCUCUACAACAAUCAAAUACUCAUUUCCUAGCUUGAGGCUCUCAUUUCACACUCUGAAUGAAUAAAAUAUAGCCUGACCAAAGAGAGGCUGUGAGAGGAGUGCAAACUCUACUUAGAGGUUAACAACCUGAUUUCUCUCUCAUACCAGUUUUACGGUCACUUAGCUCCAUUGACUUUGGUGGAAUGAGUCCUGAUUUACAACAUUGCUUCAGAGCAGGUUUAAAGCUGUGCUACACAAUAGCAAUACUGGUGCCAGUUCUUGGAGCAAAGUGUAUUUGCAUUGUGCAUGCCGCAGUACUAUCAGGUCUGAGACCGUAAAGAAAAUGUUUAUUCUUUUUUGAUCUCUGGAGAACAGAGGUGCAAGAAAUUAUUUAGAGCUCUCAUUUGUUACCUUACUUGUAUGGUUUAAUAUCAGUUAUGUUUUGUUUGUUUGUUUGUUUGUUUUUUCCUUCAGUGAUUUGUCCUUUAUCAAGGCAAUCCUGUGCUUUCAAAUCUAAUAUGUUGGGUUAGAGGUUUACAGAGUUCACGUUGGUGUGUAUUUUUGGUGGGAACACCCUCAACUUGAAAUGCUAUCUGAUGUAAAAAGCAAGCAAACAAACAAAAACCAACAAUGAAACAGAUUGUAUUAGUUAUUUAAGAAACUACUUAGAAAUUAGUUUACCUCCUGUCACCUCUCCCAAGUAUGAUUUUAAGUCCAUGCACAAUAGGCUGCCAUUUCUUCAGUUCCUGGUGUUUGAUGUGAUGUACCAGCACUGGAGGCCUCUGUGCUGCUUCCUACCUCACACUGGCAUCUUAUCUGCAGAGCAGAUGGAGGAAACCAUCUGAGUGAAUACACCUGAUCAAGAGAUGAGGACCCAUGUUCUUAGCUUGACUCAUGUUGACACAAAACACUUUUAUUGUGGGAAAGCUAAGCAAGCCAAACAUGAUGGACUUGCAAUCCACUUCACUGCUACAUAGAUACACUCAUGUCUACUGGAGCCCCUCUUCUGUAACUUCAGCCCAUCUGCACUGAAGGUCUGCUUCAGUCCCCUCCCCAAAUAAGAGAGAAUGUUUUUAUUUAAAAUAUAAUGAACUGUGUUGCAUUUAGAAGAGCUGCAUGGUCAAAUGAUGUUAUCCUGUCAACCUACUGAAUGCCAUGCCACGAUGCCAGUGUUUGGACUCUGUAUUAACUGCUGGCUUUGGUAAGACUGGAAAGGAAAGGAAGACCUGGACACACUGACUACAUAUAAACUAUGAAAUAAAAUUGGUCAGAGACUUUUCCUUGAUGCCAACUGGCAUGGAAGAGCUUGCAUUCACACAGCUAAACUCUUCUUACCCUUCAAAUCACAGUGGCCACAUCCAAAAUACCUACUGGAGACAGUCCCUGACAUAGGUUAAUACCCAAACUGUGCUUUGGCAAUGACUGGAAGAGCACAAGCAAGUUUGAGCCUAAACUAUGCCAGUGACCAGAUUAGUAGUAUGGAUGGUUUUGAACCCAUGUCUCAUUAGUCCUGUUUAGUUUAGUUAGUGUCAGAGUGAAACCUCAGUCCUACUGCCAGCAGCCAACAGAAAACCCCUAUUGGCCUCGGUGACCAGAAGCUGCUGAGAAGUAUAAUUAUUACUUUGCUUACCUCCCUCAUAUUUGGAUUCUUUUUUUCCUCUCAUUCUGUCUAUUACCAAAUGAGUACUGAAAUAAACAUUUUUAAAAAAUAGCAUAGUGUAAUGAAAUUGGAUUGUUUCCUGUUCAAAACUUGUUAGUUUUGAAUGACCCACAGGGUUAUCAAACAGGCUUAGGUUCUGGUAAAGCCAGCUUCAUCUCUCUUCUCUGAUGGAAGAGCUCCUGCAGCUUUAAGCAAAUAACUUAGAUUGUAUAUGACUAUGCACCCCAUUUGGAUAAAGAGUUAAAAGCCACAACGUAUUGAGAUACAAACAUGCCAGGUGCUUAAGGUCACAUAAGCAUUUGAAACUGAUGUGAGCAUAAAACUACCUUUGAUUUCUGUGUCACUUUUUUAUUUUUUAUUAUUAUUAUUUUUAAAAUUUAUUUAAUAUAUAUAUCUGGGAAGGGAAUUUGUUUUAAAUCCUGAAAAAUGAACUUGAGUGUGUUCACCCCUGUGUCAAGACGCUUUCAGAGUUGAAGGAAAUGCUGGGGGUGGGUUUGGAUAAACCUGAAGUAUUCUACAGGGAUGGCUGUGCUAAUUUGGAGAGAGGCUGCUCUGUUUCCAGAGCUAACUCUCUGCACCUGGUACCCCAGUUAACCCGUGUAAAACUAUCCUUCACAGUACUAUGCUAUACUUCUGCCUGCAGCAAUAUAAAUAAGAAUCAGGCAAUUCAUGCUAUAAUCUUUUUCUCUAUUCUAAAGAUAAAUGGCACUGGAGAACAAGUUGAUUUAAAAAGCUCAUCAUACAAAAUGAUUAUAUUAAGCCAUGCUGUAUUACUGAGAUUACAGAAAAUGACCUGCAUGUAUUGAAUUAAACCACGAUUUUUCAAUGAUCUCAGUGGCAGCAGAAUUGGGACAUUUUAAUCAUUGCAUUAUCAGUUUGUGAGCUGGACUUUGAAAAGCAGGAAGCGCUUCAGCAAAGCAGAGGAGGAACACAGAGGAACAUUUGAUCUAUCAUCGUUUGGCUCCCUUUCUCUGUCUGCCAUGUUGCACCGAACCCCGCCAGUUGCAGCCUGCUGUCCCCUGAUGCAUGCGGACAGCUUCCAUCAGCAAUCAAGGGCAGAAGAGACAGUUUCAUGAGAACUCAUUCAGGUUACAGUCUGGAAUCUGGAUAUUGCAACACUUUGUGAGACAAUGAACAACUUCUACAGGAUUGACCAGUUCAAAGUGAAAAAAUCUUGGGUAUCAACAAAAAUCAUUACCACAAAUGGUGAAAAGCCAUUCAAGAUACCCUUCCCCACUUGCACCAAAGGAUGGUGACGUUGUGAUGGCCCCACAGUCCUCAGGAGUUCUUUGAAGGCUUGCAGUGAGGGCACCAAUGAAGAGGUCCCAUCUGCACCACCCUCUGGAGGAGGGAAAGUAAACCUGAGUGGAUCUGUGAAAAAAUUAUGCUUCCUAACAGAAAGAAACAAUGAUUUCAAUAGUGUGAAGGAAUGCAGUAUCUGGCAUGCUGUGACAUGAUAUAUCUUUAAACUAUUUGAGUUUACACCAAACUUGAACUACCAGAGAAAGGAGCGACCUUUCCAACUUAAACUGCUGAUCAUAAAAAGUUCUCCUUUUACUCAAGAGAAUGCUAUUGAAGUGCUGGCUGAGAUGCUGGGGAAAGCAGUUCCUGCCAUCUUCCUAAGCAAUAUUGGGCCAGGCCCUUAGCCUCUCUUGUCUCACUUUCCAGUCACAUUCUGUUGUCAUGUAUGACACAGAACGGCGUUGGAGAAACACCUCUUCUCUUCCUACAAAUGUUUGUUUGUGACAGUCUUUAACCAAAAGCAACAGCCUUUAUGAGAGUUCAGGAUACUGGAAAAAAUUAGAUCUCGAAGAACUGUUAUUGAUAGAUUUCUUCAAAGGAAGAGCAUAAUACUCCUUCUCCCUGAACAACAAAAAAUAUCUAAACACAGAGGCUCAACAGUCCCAGCUCUCAGCCUCUCCUCACAUGUCAGAUGCACUAGUCCCUUAAUCAUCUUCAUAGUCCUUGGUUGAACUCACUCCAAUAUGUUUAUGUCUUUGCUGUACUGGGAAAGCCAGAACAAAACCCAGCACUACAGGUACGUCCCACCAGCGUUGAGUAGAAAGGAAGGAUCAACUCCCUCGAACUUCUGGCCAUGCUCUUCCUAAUACAGCCCAGGAUGCUGUUUGGCCUUCUUUGCUGUACUUGCAUAUUGGUGG